Molecule: transfer RNA, 69 nt
Filed under: Camelus bactrianus (Bactrian camel)
Lineage: Eukaryota; Metazoa; Chordata; Mammalia; Artiodactyla; Camelidae
Also listed under: 3 other names
Rfam family: tRNA
About the family: Transfer RNA (tRNA) molecules are approximately 80 nucleotides in length. Their secondary structure includes four short double-helical elements and three loops (D, anti-codon, and T loops).
Source: Rfam by way of RNAcentral
GGGGAUAGCUCAAUGGUAGAGCACGUGCUGAACAUGCACAAGGUCCUGGGUUCAAUCCCCAGUACCCCA